GACGAACGCUGGCGGCGUGCUUAACACAUGCAAGUCGAACGGUGAAGCCCUUCGGGGUGGAUCAGUGGCGAACGGGUGAGUAACACGUGAGCAACCUGCCCCUGGCUCUGGGACAACCACUGGAAACGGUGGCUAAUACCGGAUACGACCCGCCUCGGCAUCGAGUGUGGGUGGAAAGUUGUUCGGCUGGGGAUGGGCUCGCGGCCUAUCAGCUUGUUGGUGAGGUGAAGGCUCCCCAAGGCGACGACGGGUAGCCGGCCUGAGAGGGCGACCGGCCACACUGGGACUGAGACACGGCCCAGACUCCUACGGGAGGCAGCAGUGGGGAAUAUUGCACAAUGGGCGAAAGCCUGAUGCAGCGACGCCGCGUGAGGGAUGACGGCCUUCGGGUUGUAAACCUCUUUCAGCUCCGAAGAAGCGAAAGUGACGGUAGGAGCAGAAGAAGCACCGGCUAACUACGUG
This 462-nucleotide ribosomal RNA is filed under the name uncultured bacterium. RNAcentral's name for it is "partial 16S ribosomal RNA". It matches the Rfam family "Bacterial small subunit ribosomal RNA", at positions 28 to 507 of the family's 1533-position model. The record is from RNAcentral.